CCUACGGGCGGCAGCAGUAGGGAAUAUUGCUCAAUGGGGGAAACCCUGAAGCAGCAACGCCGCGUGGAGGAUGAAGGUUUUCGGAUUGUAAACUCCUUUUGUUAGAGAAGAUAAUGACGGUAUCUAACGAAUAAGCACCGGCUAACUCCGUGCCAGCAGCCGCGGUAAUACGGAGGGUGCAAGCGUUACUCGGAAUCACUGGGCGUAAAGAGCGCGUAGGCGGGUUAGCAAGUCAGAUGUGAAAUCCUAUGGCUUAACCAUAGAACUGCAUUUGAAACUGUUAGUCUAGAGUAUGGGAGAGGUAGGUGGAAUUCUUGGUGUAGGGGUAAAAUGCGUAGAGAUCAAGAGGAAUACUCAUUGCGAAGGCGACCUGCUAGAACAUAACUGACGCUGAUGCGCGAAAGCGUGGGGAGCAAACAGGAUUAGAUACCCUUGUAGUC
This 440-nucleotide ribosomal RNA is filed under the name uncultured bacterium. Its description in RNAcentral is "partial 16S ribosomal RNA". It matches the Rfam family "Bacterial small subunit ribosomal RNA", at positions 338 to 795 of the family's 1533-position model. The record is from RNAcentral.